This 483-nucleotide ribosomal RNA is filed under the name uncultured bacterium. RNAcentral describes it as "partial 16S ribosomal RNA". The record is from RNAcentral.
GAAGUUAGCCGGGGCUUCUUCUUCAGGUACCGUCAUUAUCUUCCCUGACGAAAGAGCUUUACAACCCUAAGGCCUUCAUCACUCACGCGGCAUGGCUGGAUCAGGCUUGCGCCCAUUGUCCAAUAUUCCCCACUGCUGCCUCCCGCAGGAGUCUGGACCGUAUCUCAGUUCCAGUGUGGCCGAUCAGCCUCUCAGCUCGGCUACCCAUCGUCGACUUGGUGGGCCGUUACCCCGCCAACUAUCUAAUGGGACGCGAACCCCUCUUAUACCGGAUUGCUCCUUUGACCUCAUCCCGAUGUCGGGUCGUGGUCUUAUGCGGUAUUAGCAACCGUUUCCGGUUGUUAUCCCCCUGUACAAGGCAGGUUGUUCACGCGUUACUCACCCGUUCGCCACUAAGUUAUCAACCGAAAUCAAUAACUCCGUUCGACUUGCAUGUGUUAGGCACGCCGCCAGCGUUCGUCCUGAGCCAGAAUCAAACUCUGA